AGUUGAUCAUGGCUCAGGAUGAACGCUAGCGACAGGCUUAACACAUGCAAGUCGAGGGCAGCAUAAAAGUAGCAAUACUUGGUGGCGACCGGCGCACGGGUGAGUAACGCGUAUCGCAACCUACCUAUCAGAGGGGAAUAACCCGGCGAAAGUCGGACUAAUACCGCAUAAAACAGGGACACCGCAUGGUGAUAUUUGUUAAAGAAAUUCGCUGAUAGAUGGGCAUGCGUUCCAUUAGGUAGUCGGUGAGGUAACGGCUCACCAAGCCGACGAUGGAUAGGGGAACUGAGAGGUUGGUCCCCCACACUGGUACUGAGACACGGACCAGACUCCUACGGGAGGCAGCAGUGAGGAAUAUUGGUCAAUGGGCGAGAGCCUGAACCAGCCAAGUCGCGUGAAAGGAAGAAGGAUCUAUGGUUCGUAAACUUCUUUUGCAGGGGAAUAAAGUGCAGGACGUGUCCUGUUUUGUAUGUACCCUGAGAAUAAGGAUCGGCUAACUCCGUGCCAGCCGCAGC
This 515-nucleotide ribosomal RNA is filed under the name uncultured bacterium. Its description in RNAcentral is "bacterial SSU rRNA". It matches the Rfam family "Bacterial small subunit ribosomal RNA", at positions 10 to 518 of the family's 1533-position model. The record is from RNAcentral.